GUGUCAGCCGCCGCGGUAAUACGUAGGGGGCGAGCGUUGUCCGGAGUUACUGGGCGUAAAGCGCACGCAGGCGGUCUGUGAAGUUUGGAGUGACAGUUGGUGGCUCAACCACCAAAGUGCUUUGAAAACUGAUAGACUUGAGGGCUUCAGAGGGACACGGAAUUCCGGGUGGAGUGGUGAAAUGCGUAGAGAUCCGGAGGAACACCAAAGGCGAAGGCAGUGUCCUGGGGAGUACCUGACGCUCAGGUGCGAAAGCCAGGGGAGCGAACGGGAUUAGAAACCCCGGUAGUCC
RNAcentral lists this ribosomal RNA (292 nucleotides) under uncultured bacterium. RNAcentral's name for it is "partial 16S ribosomal RNA". It matches the Rfam family "Bacterial small subunit ribosomal RNA", at positions 505 to 796 of the family's 1533-position model. The record is from RNAcentral.